GUGGGGAAUUUUGGACAAUGGGCGCAAGCCUGAUCCAGCAAUGCCGCGUGCAGGAAGAAGGCCUUCGGGUUGUAAACUGCUUUUGUACGGAACGAAACGGUCCGGGUUAAUACCCUGGGCUAAUGACGGUACCGUAAGAAUAAGCACCGGCUAACUACGUGCCAGCAGCCGCGGUAAUACGUAGGGUGCAAGCGUUAAUCGGAAUUACUGGGCGUAAAGCGUGCGCAGGCGGUGCUGUAAGACAGGCGUGAAAUCCCCGGGCUCAACCUGGGAAUUGCGCUUGUGACUGCAGUGCUGGAGUGCGGCAGAGGGGGAUGGAAUUCCGCGUGUAGCAGUGAAAUGCGUAGAUAUGCGGAGGAACACCGAUGGCGAAGGCAAUCCCCUGGGCCUGCACUGACGCUCAUGCACGAAAGCGUGGGGAGCAAACAGGAUUAGAUACCCGGGUAGUCC
RNAcentral lists this ribosomal RNA (450 nucleotides) under uncultured bacterium. RNAcentral describes it as "bacterial SSU rRNA". It matches the Rfam family "Bacterial small subunit ribosomal RNA", at positions 354 to 796 of the family's 1533-position model. The record is from RNAcentral.